Molecule: ribosomal RNA, 469 nt
Filed under: uncultured bacterium
Lineage: Bacteria
Description: bacterial SSU rRNA
Rfam family: Bacterial small subunit ribosomal RNA
Source: RNAcentral
UUCCAGACUCCUACGGGAGGCAGCAGUGAGGAAUAUUGGUCAAUGGGCGGGAGCCUGAACCAGCCAAGUCGCGUGAGGGAAGACUGCCCUAUGGGUUGUAAACCUCUUUUGUCAGGGAGCAAUUGGCGCUACGUGUAGCGUUAUCGAGAGUACCUGAAGAAAAAGCAUCGGCUAACUACGUGCCAGCAGCCGCGGUAAUACGUAGGGGGCAAGCGUUAUCCGGAUUUACUGGGUGUAAAGGGAGCGUAGACGGCAUGGCAAGUCUGGUGUGAAAGGCAGGGGCUCAACCCCUGGACUGCAUUGGAAACUGUCAGGCUGGAGUGCAGGAGAGGUAAGUGGAAUUCCUAGCGUAGCGGUGAAAUGCGUAGAUAUUAGGAGGAACACCAGUGGCGAAGGCGACUUACUGGACUGUAACUGACGUUGAGGCUCGAAAGCGUGGGGAGCAAACAGGAUUAGAUACCCUGGUAGA